Molecule: ribosomal RNA, 301 nt
Filed under: uncultured bacterium
Lineage: Bacteria
Description: partial 16S ribosomal RNA
Rfam family: Bacterial small subunit ribosomal RNA
Source: RNAcentral
CAGUAGCCGCGGUAAUACGAAGGGUGCAAGCGUUAAUCGGAAUUACUGGGCGUAAAGCGUGCGUAGGCGGUUUGUUAAGUCUGCUGUGAAAUCCCCGGGCUCAACCUGGGAAUGGCAGUGGAUACUGGCAAGCUAGAGUGUGUCAGAGGAUGGUGGAAUUCCCGGUGUAGCGGUGAAAUGCGUAGAGAUCGGGAGGAACAUCAGUGGCGAAGGCAGCCCCCUGGGUCAAGAUUGACGCUCAUGCACGAAAGCGUGGGGAGCAAACAGGAUUAGAUACCCGCGUAGUCCCUGUCUCUUAUAC